Molecule: ribosomal RNA, 449 nt
Filed under: uncultured bacterium
Lineage: Bacteria
Description: bacterial SSU rRNA
Rfam family: Bacterial small subunit ribosomal RNA
Source: RNAcentral
GUCGAGAAUCUUUCACAAUGGGGGCAACCCUGAUGGAGCGACGCCGCGUGGAGGAUAAGGUCUUCGGAUUGUAAACUCCUGUCAUGCGUGAACAAGGUUGCUUGGUUAAUACCUGGGCAAAUUGAUGGUAACGCAAGAGGAAGAGACGGCUAACUCUGUGCCAGCAGCCGCGGUAAUACAGAGGUCUCAAGCGUUGUUCGGAAUCACUGGGCGUAAAGGGUGCGUAGGUGGCGUGGUAAGUCAGAUGUGAAAGCCCGGGGCUCAACCUCGGAACUGCAUCCGAUACUGCCAUGCUAGAGUACUGGAGAGGUGACUAGAAUUCUCGGUGUAGCAGUGAAAUGCGUAGAUAUCGAGAGGAAUACCAAAGGCGUAGGCAGGUCACUGGACAGUUACUGACACUGAGGCACGAAGGCCAGGGGAGCGAACGGGAUUAGAUACCCGUGUAGUCC